UAUAAUGCAAGUCGAGCGGACAGAAGGGAGCUUGCUCCCGGAUGUUAGCGGCGGACGGGUGAGUAACACGUGGGUAACCUGCCUGUAAGACUGGGAUAACUCCGGGAAACCGGAGCUAAUACCGGAUAGUUCCUUGAACCGCAUGGUUCAAGGAUGAAAGACGGUUUCGGCUGUCACUUACAGAUGGACCCGCGGCGCAUUAGCUAGUUGGUGGGGUAAUGGCUCACCAAGGCGACGAUGCGUAGCCGACCUGAGAGGGUGAUCGGCCACACUGGGACUGAGACACGGCCCAGACUCCUACGGGAGGCAGCAGUAGGGAAUCUUCCGCAAUGGACGAAAGUCUGACGGAGCAACGCCGCGUGAGUGAUGAAGGUUUUCGGAUCGUAAAGCUCUGUUGUUAGGGAAGAACAAGUGCGAGAGUAACUGCUCGCACCUUGACGGUACCUAACCAGAAAGCCACGGCUAACUACGUGCCAGCAGCCGCGGUAAUACGUAGGUGGCAAGCGUUGUCCGGAAUUAUUGGGCGUAAAGGGCUCGCAGGCGGUUUCUUAAGUCUGAUGUGAAAGCCCCCGGCUCAACCGGGGAGGGUCAUUGGAAACUGGGAAACUUGAGUGCAGAAGAGGAGAGUGGAAUUCCACGUGUAGCGGUGAAAUGCGUAGAGAUGUGGAGGAACACCAGUGGCGAAGGCGACUCUCUGGUCUGUAACUGACGCUGAGGAGCGAAAGCGUGGGGAGCGAACAGGAUUAGAUACCCUGGUAGUCCACGCCGUAAACGAUGAGUGCUAAGUGUUAGGGGGUUUCCGCCCCUUAGUGCUGCAGCUAACGCAUUAAGCACUCCGCCUGGGGAGUACGGUCGCAAGACUGAAACUCAAAGGAAUUGACGGGGGCCCGCACAAGCGGUGGAGCAUGUGGUUUAAUUCGAAGCAACGCGAAGAACCUUACCAGGUCUUGACAUCCUCUGACAACCCUAGAGAUAGGGCUUUCCCUUCGGGGACAGAGUGACAGGUGGUGCAUGGUUGUCGUCAGCUCGUGUCGUGAGAUGUUGGGUUAAGUCCCGCAACGAGCGCAACCCUUGAUCUUAGUUGCCAGCAUUUAGUUGGGCACUCUAAGGUGACUGCCGGUGACAAACCGGAAGGAAGGUGGGGGAUGACGUCAAAUCAUCAUGCCCCUUAUGACCUGGGCUACACACGUGCUACAAUGGA
Molecule: ribosomal RNA, 1201 nt
Filed under: Bacillus zhangzhouensis
Lineage: Bacteria; Bacillati; Bacillota; Bacilli; Caryophanales; Bacillaceae
Description: bacterial SSU rRNA
Rfam family: Bacterial small subunit ribosomal RNA
Source: RNAcentral